RNAcentral lists this ribosomal RNA (244 nucleotides) under uncultured Staphylococcus sp. RNAcentral's name for it is "partial 16S ribosomal RNA". It matches the Rfam family "Bacterial small subunit ribosomal RNA", at positions 96 to 334 of the family's 1533-position model. The record is from RNAcentral. Lineage: Bacteria; Bacillati; Bacillota; Bacilli; Caryophanales; Staphylococcaceae.
CGGCGGACGGGUGAGUAACACGUGGAUAACCUACCUAUAAGACUGGGAUAACUUAGGGAAACCGGAGCUAAUACCGGAUAAUAUAUUGAACCGCAUGGUUCAAUAGUGAAAGACGGUUUUGCUGUCACUUAUAGAUGGAUCCGCGCCGCAUUAGCUAGUUGGUAAGGUAACGGCUUACCAAGGCGACGAUGCGUAGCCGACCUGAGAGGGUGAUCGGCCACACUGGAACUGAGACACGGUCCAG